Molecule: long non-coding RNA, 1006 nt
Filed under: Salmo salar (Atlantic salmon)
Lineage: Eukaryota; Metazoa; Chordata; Actinopteri; Salmoniformes; Salmonidae
Description: lncRNA (ENSSSAG00000091164.1)
Source: RNAcentral
AGGGGUUGAUAUUUUACUAGAAAAAGAAACCUAAUACAAAGAAAGAUUGUGUUAAACCCAUAAAAACCUAAGGUGGUUAGUAGUCAGCCAGCAGUCUGCUUCAACGAUACACAGAUAGGAGUGCCUGCCUGGGGUUAGUUCAUUUGGUGGGAGAUUGAAAACUAAAACAACGAUCUAAAUAUCGUGUAAACUCUAGAGGGUUAGGAGAGGGAGAGAGAAAAAGACUAGGGCUCAGAGUGAGAGUUUAAAGACUGACUGGUCAUGUCAGUGCCUAUAAGAGUCAAAAGGUCAAAGCUAGAGAAGGUCAAAGGUUUAAUGUCAAGGGUUAGGUCAAGGUGACUUUGUGUGCAUUGACACUCAGUUUAGGCAGGACCCUGUCAGUGGGAGGAGAGGAGAUACACAGUGCUCAAAAUGCCAGGGCCAAGGCAAUACUACCCACGCAACUGCUGUCAAUGCCACCAAACUCCACCGUUCAGUUAGAACUCUUUCAUUUUAAAUGUGUGGUACUUCGAAAAAUAAAAACUUGAAUUGAGUUCUUUUAGUUCUUUUUUCUUUCUCCCUUUCCUCUUAGCCCAUCCAGACAGCUGCAAUAGACUUUAAAACAGAAGACGGUCAGACAAAAUAACCAUUUCACAGGAAUAGACACGAAGAUCUGGGACUAUUGUACGAACAGAGGCUGUGUUCUCAAAAUGGUGGACAAAAAAAACAAAAUAAAAAUGGGGAACAAACAAACAAAACUAGAAAAAAGGAACAUCUUGUGUGGUGUCAAAGAUCGUUCUGUAAGAGUUGACACUGUGUAAGUGACGAUGUGUGUUUGUGUUUUGUAAAUUUGUUUGUGAGUGUCAGAUUGACAUUCAGUGUGGAUUAGGACAUACAAAGACUGUGGAACAUAAUCAUUAUCAAAACACCCUUUAACAGAACAUAUGUCAUGGCCUCACUCAAUGGUGAUCAUAUCAUUUUCUAUAGCUCUCUAUAGAUGUGUGUGUAUAUAUAUAUAUAUAUAUAU